CUGCACCCGUACAGUAAAGUAGAGACGAGAAUAAGAAUGGUAUUGUAGUCUUUCGGUCGUCAAAGUGAGUUGCUCGCAGUGUAGUUUGUUGUUCGAAACUGUGACGUAUGCUCCCUUGAAGCUCCAUAUUUAAGUUACAAACCCUCAGUUGUGCCUGAAAUCUAAUCAAAAUGUGUGAUAACAAUUCGACACAAAGUAUAGCGGACUAUUUAGCUCAGUUGUUGAAAGACAGAAAGCAAUUAGCUGCUUUUCCCAAUGUGUUUAUUCACGUCGAGCGUCUUUUAGACGAAGAAAUUGCCAAAGUGAGGGCAAGUCUAUUUCAAAUAAAUGGAGUUAAAAAGGAACCUUUAGUGUUACCUGAACCUGAAGGACAAGUGAUGACACUCACGGAAAAAGUCUAUGUACCAGUUAAGGAACAUCCAGAUUUUAAUUUCGUCGGGAGGAUAUUAGGACCCCGAGGUAUGACAGCCAAACAAUUGGAACAGGAAACUGGAUGUAAAAUUAUGGUUCGAGGAAAGGGUUCGAUGAGAGACAAAAAGAAGGAAGAUCAAAACAGAGGAAAACCGAAUUGGGAGCAUCUUUCCGACGAUCUUCAUGUACUUUUAACAGUAGAAGAUACAGAAAAUCGAGCAAAAGUCAAGAUGGCUCGUGCUGUAGAAGAAGUGAAAAAAUUAUUAGUACCUCAAGCUGAUGGUGAAGAUGAGCUUAAGAAAAGGCAGCUAAUGGAACUAGCCAUCAUUAAUGGAACAUACAGGGAUUCUAGUUCAAAAACAACAUCUGCAGCUGUAUGUGAUGAAGAGUGGGCACGUGUUGCAGUUGCAGCAGCUGAAACACAAAGGCUUUUGUCUCCAGCUAUUCCUGGAUUGGCGACUCCGUUGAGAACACCCGCAACGCCUUUGGGUGCCCCUCUAAUCUUGUCACCGCGCAUGUCUGUGCCGACAACGGGUGCAUCCAUACUUAACGGGUCCGCCCCACCAGGAUCUCUGUUGUCGCCCGGGGAAACCCAUGGGUUGAUUUACACCCCGUACACAGACUAUACCAACUAUGCAGCCCUGGCAGCUUCGCCACUUCUCACGGAGUACGCCGCUACCGAACAUUCUGGCAAUUACGGGGUUUCAAGAGGUGCAGAGCAACUUGCGUUCACUGGUUUUUAUGUCUAUUAAGUAAUUUUUCUUUCUCGUUUGGAACACAAGCUUUGCCACCUUCUAUAUAGGUGUAUUUAUAAACAGUGCCGCUGCUGUUGCUGCUAAGCAGCGUAGACAUUUGGGCCAGAUCAGAGAACAUCCCUACCAAAGAG
Molecule: unclassified non-coding RNA, 1297 nt
Filed under: Agrilus planipennis (emerald ash borer)
Lineage: Eukaryota; Metazoa; Arthropoda; Insecta; Coleoptera; Buprestidae
Description: protein held out wings, transcript variant X5
Source: RNAcentral